This 253-nucleotide ribosomal RNA is filed under the name uncultured bacterium. RNAcentral's name for it is "partial 16S ribosomal RNA". It matches the Rfam family "Bacterial small subunit ribosomal RNA", at positions 524 to 776 of the family's 1533-position model. The record is from RNAcentral.
GAAAGAGGAGGCGAGCGUUAUCCGGUGUCAUUGGGCGGAAAGGGUACGUAGGCGGCUAGUCAAGUCUGAGGUUAAAGACCUCAGCUUAACUGUGGGAAGGCCUUGGAAACUGACUGGCUAGAGUGGGGCAGGGGUUGCGGGAAUUCCCGGUGUAGCGGUGAAAUGCGUAGAUAUCGGGAAGAACACCUGAGGCUAAAGCGCGCAACUGGGCCCUGACUGACGCUGAGGUACGAAAGCUAGGGGAGCGAAUGGG